AUGGGGGUCAUAUCGCAGUUGAAGGAACGUUAGUUCUACUUGAAGGAUCUUAGCAAUUCCAAUUGACUUAUCAAAUGCAAUAUCCUGAAAAUCAUUGUCAUGUUACCUUAAUUUAAUUUGGUUCUCUUUUACUUUAUUAGAGUUGUAAUUGUAACAUCAGUGACUUGUCAGUAGCGAAAAAAUAUCUUUCAAAAAAUGUGAAAAGGACUGCAGCGGGCCGUGACAGUGCACGGGCAUUUCGGCUAGUAAGAAAAAAAAACACGCACCG
This 268-nucleotide long non-coding RNA is filed under the name Brachypodium distachyon (stiff brome). RNAcentral describes it as "long non-coding RNA (BDIS_LNC000958)". Lineage: Eukaryota; Viridiplantae; Streptophyta; Magnoliopsida; Poales; Poaceae. The record is from RNAcentral.